UUUAUUUAUUGCCCAGAACUAUGAUCAAUUGGUUGUGUUUUGUCGUUCUUGAGUGAAUCAGUUGACUAGAUACUGAACAUGUUAGCCAAUCAGGCCUAAUCCAUCAAGGCCUACCCAGGCAGGUUAGACCUAAUGUCUCGGUCCUCAAUUUCUUGUAGGUCAUGUUAGCCAAUAAUGGCUCUACAGGUUACGAGUUUUGGGUGUAAUUACGCAGUUUGGCCUGUUUGUUUGAC
RNAcentral lists this long non-coding RNA (233 nucleotides) under Nicotiana benthamiana. Its description in RNAcentral is "long non-coding RNA (NBEN_LNC024922)". The record is from RNAcentral. Lineage: Eukaryota; Viridiplantae; Streptophyta; Magnoliopsida; Solanales; Solanaceae.